Molecule: unclassified non-coding RNA, 348 nt
Filed under: soil metagenome
Description: partial contains 5.8S ribosomal RNA, internal transcribed spacer 2, and large subunit ribosomal RNA
Rfam family: 5.8S ribosomal RNA (bases 1-120)
Source: RNAcentral
GAUGAAGAACGCAGCGAAAUGCGAUAAGUAAUGUGAAUUGCAGAAUUCAGUGAAUCAUCGAAUCUUUGAACGCACAUUGCGCCCGCCAGUAUUCUGGCGGGCAUGCCUGUCUGAGCGUCAUUUCAACCCUCAUGCCCCUAGGGCGUGGUGUUGGGGAUCGGCCAAAGCCCGCGAGGGACGGCCGGCCCCUAAAUCUAGUGGCGGACCCGUCGUGGCCUCCUCUGCGAAGUAGUGAUAUUCCGCAUCGGAGNGCGACGAGCCCCUGCCGUUAAACCCCCAACUUUCCAAGGUUGACCUCAGAUCAGGUAGGAAUACCCGCUGAACUUAAGCAUAUCAAUAAGCGGAGGA